GUGGGGAAUCUUGCGCAAUGGGCGAAAGCCUGACGCAGCCAUGCCGCGUGAAUGAUGAAGGUCUUAGGAUUGUAAAAUUCUUUCACCGGGGACGAUAAUGACGGUACCCGGAGAAGAAGCUCCGGCUAACUUCGUGCCAGCAGCCGCGUUAAUACGAAGGGGGCUAGCGUUGCUCGGAAUUACUGGGCGUAAAGGGCGCGUAGGCGGACAGUUUAGUCAGAGGUGAAAGCCCAGGGCUCAACCUUGGAAUUGCCUUUGAUACUGGCUGUCUUGAGUACGGGAGAGGUGAGUGGAACUCCGAGUGUAGAGGUGAAAUUCGUAGAUAUUCGGAAGAACACCAGUGGCGAAGGCGACUCACUGGCCCGUUACUGACGCUGAGGCGCGAAAGCGUGGGGAGCAAACAGGAUUAGAUACCCGGGUAGUCC
Molecule: ribosomal RNA, 425 nt
Filed under: uncultured bacterium
Lineage: Bacteria
Description: partial 16S ribosomal RNA
Rfam family: Bacterial small subunit ribosomal RNA
Source: RNAcentral